CAGUACUCGCCUUAGCUAGUUCACUUGCAAUUGGAGUACGAGAAGGUGUCUUCACCCUGAUGUUUGCGAGAUUAAACAUUCGUCUCAGGAACCAUCUUUUCCGAACCUUGAUGAGGCAAGAAAUUGCCUUUUUUGAUGACAAUCACACAGGUGACAUCCUUUCACGCCUGUCUGCUGACACCACCCAGGUGAGCGACCUCAUCUCCCAGAACGUCAAUGUCUUCCUGGAGAACGUUCUUAAGGGCGUUGGCUUCUUCAUCUUCAUGUGUGGCAUGUCCUGGAAGCUCACACUGGUGACCAUCAUGGGAUUCCCUUUCAUUGGUCUGAUCUCAAAACUUUAUGGUGAAUACUACAAGGUAAAGUAGUUUUGUCUGAAUGUUAAUUUCUUUAUAUUUUGCUUCCAAGAAGUCAGAUAUUAUUGUAAUUUUUUUAAGUGAUCUUGAGAAAUAGUUAUUACAGUACAGCGUGCCGCAGCAGGGAAGGCGGACGCAGCUGCGCAGCAUCACAAUCACACCUCGCCAGCUUAAAAUCUGUGCUCUACAGGGCCGUGCAGAGACG
Molecule: long non-coding RNA, 558 nt
Organism: Oreochromis aureus
Lineage: Eukaryota; Metazoa; Chordata; Actinopteri; Cichliformes; Cichlidae
Exons: 3
Source: RefSeq, a predicted model, not a curated record